RNAcentral lists this ribosomal RNA (652 nucleotides) under uncultured bacterium. Its description in RNAcentral is "bacterial SSU rRNA". It matches the Rfam family "Bacterial small subunit ribosomal RNA", at positions 33 to 679 of the family's 1533-position model. The record is from RNAcentral.
ACCUGGCGGCAGGUUUAACACACGCCAGUCGAGCGGUAACAGGGGGAGCUUGCUCCCCGCUGACGAGCGGCGGACGGGUGAGUAAUGCAUAGGAAACUGCCCAGUAGUGGGGGAUAGCCCGGGGAAACCCGGAUUAAUACCGCAUACGCCCUUUGGGGGAAAGCAGGGGAUCUUCGGACCUUGCGCUAUUGGAUGUGCCUAUGUCUUAUUAGCUAGUUGGUGGGGUAAGAGCCUACCAAGGCUGACGAUCCGUAGCUGGUCUGAGAGGAUGAUCAGCCACAUCGGGACUGAGACGCUGGCCCGAACUCCUACGGGAGGCAGCAGUGGGGAAUAUUGGACAAUGGGGGCAACCCUGAUCCAGCCAUGCCGCGUGUGUGAAGAAGGCUUUCGGGUUGUAAAGCACUUUCAGUGAGGAGGAAAACCUUACGACUAAUACUCGUGAGGCUUGACGUUCUCACAGAAGAAGCACCGGCUAACUCCGUGCCAGCAGCCGCGGUAAUACGGAGGGUGCAAGCGUUAAUCGGAAUUCUGGGCGUAAAGCGCGCGUAGGUGGUUUGAUAAGCCAGAUGUGAAAGCCCCGGGCUCACCUGGGAACGCAUUUCGAACUGUCAGGCUAGAGUAUGGUAGAGGAGUGUGGAAUUUCCUGUGUAGC